AAAGCGUGGGUAGCAAACAGGAUUAGAUACCCUGGUAGUCCACGCCGUAAACGAUGUCUACUAGUCGUUGGGUCCCUUGAGGACUUAGUGACGCAGCUAACGCAAUAAGUAGACCGCCUGGGGAGUACGGCCGCAAGGUUAAAACUCAAAUGAAUUGACGGGGGCCCGCACAAGCGGUGGAGCAUGUGGUUUAAUUCGAUGCAACGCGAAGAACCUUACCUGGUCUUGACAUAUCUAGAAUCCUGCAGAGAUGCGGGAGUGCCUUCGGGAAUUAGAAUACAGGUGCUGCAUGGCUGUCGUCAGCUCGUGUCGUGAGAUGUUGGGUUAAGUCCCGCAACGAGCGCAACCCUUGUCCUUAGUUACCAGCGGUUUGGCCGGGAACUCUAAGGAUACUGCCAGUGACAAACUGGAGGAAGGCGGGGACGACGUCAAGUCAUCAUGGCCCUUACGACCAGGGCUACACACGUGCUACAAUGGUAGGUACAGAGGGCAGCUACACAGCGAUGUGAUGCGAAUCUCAAAAAGCCUAUCGUAGUCCAGAUUGGAGUCUGCAACUCGACUCCAUGAAGUAGGAAUCGCUAGUAAUCGCGGAUCAGAAUGCCGCGGUGAAUACGUU
RNAcentral lists this ribosomal RNA (616 nucleotides) under Psychrobacter sp. Its description in RNAcentral is "bacterial SSU rRNA". It matches the Rfam family "Bacterial small subunit ribosomal RNA", at positions 756 to 1372 of the family's 1533-position model. The record is from RNAcentral. Lineage: Bacteria; Pseudomonadati; Pseudomonadota; Gammaproteobacteria; Moraxellales; Moraxellaceae.